This 1384-nucleotide ribosomal RNA is filed under the name uncultured Planctomycetota bacterium. RNAcentral's name for it is "bacterial SSU rRNA". It matches the Rfam family "Bacterial small subunit ribosomal RNA", at positions 46 to 1397 of the family's 1533-position model. The record is from RNAcentral. Lineage: Bacteria; Pseudomonadati; Planctomycetota.
GGAUUAGGCAUGCAAGUCGAACGAGGAUAUAUCCUUCGGGAUAUAAGCCGAGUGGCGCAAGGGUGAGUAAUGCAUAGAUUACCUGCCUCUAGGAUAAGGACAACUUUGUGAAAACGAAGCUAAUACUUAAUAACACAAGAGAAAAUAAUUUUCUUUUGUCAAUGGGAGGGUAGCAAUACCUUUUGCCUAGAGAGGGGUUUAUGUCCUAUCAGCUUGUUGGUGGGGUAAUGGCCUACCAAGGCGAAGACGGGUAGCCGGUCUUAGAGGAUGGUCGGCCACACUGGGACUGAGACACUGCCCAGACUUCUACGGAAGGCUGCAGUCGAGAAUCUUUCGCAAUGCCCGAAAGGGUGACGAAGCGACGCCGCGUGAGUGAGGAAGGCCUUCGGGUUGUAAAGCUCUGUCAGGAGUUAAGAAAUGUAAGUGUGCUAAUACCACAUUUACUUGACGAAGGCUCCAAAGGAAGCCACGGCUAACUCUGUGCCAGCAGCCGCGGUAAUACAGAGGUGGCAAGCGUUGUUCGGAAUUAUUGGGCGUAAAGAGCACGUAGGUGGGUUUGUAAGUCAGAUGUGAAAGCCUUCUGUUCAACGGAAGAAUUGCAUCUGAAACUGCAAGUCUUGAGUGUAGGAGGGGGGAAUGGAACUUCUGGUGGAGCGGUGAAAUGCGUAGAUAUCAGAAGGAACGCCGGCGGCGAAAGCGAUUCUCUGGCCUAUUACUGACACUCAGUGUGCGAAAGCUAGGGGAGCAAACGGGAUUAGAUACCCCGGUAGUCCUAGCCGUAAACGAUGGGCACUAAGUAGAGGGAAUUACCGAUGUUCUCUCUGCCGUAGCUAACGCAUUAAGUGCCCCGCCUGGGGAGUACGGCCGCAAGGCUAAAACUCAAAAGAAUUGACGGGGGCUCGCACAAGCGGUGGAGCAUGUGGCUUAAUUCGAUGCAACGCGAAAAACCUUACCGGGGCUUGACAUGGUAGAAGUAGGAACCCGAAAGGGUAACGAACGGUAUCCAGUCCGUAGCUAUCACAGGUGUUGCAUGGCUGUCGUCAGCUCGUGUCGUGAGACGUUGGGUUAAGUCCCCUAACGAGCGAAACCCUUGUUUUUAGUUACCAGCGGGUUAUGCCGGGUACUCUAGAAAGACUGCCGUCGUCAAGACGGAGGAAGGUGGGGAUGACGUCAAGUCAUCAUGGCCCUUAUGCCCCGGGCUGCACACGUGCUACAAUGGUCGGUACAAACGGAAGCGAAGCCGAGAGGUGGAGCGAAUCCUAAAAAGCCGAUCUCAGUUCGGAUUGGAGGCUGAAAUUCGCCUCUAUGAAGUUGGAAUCGCUAGUAAUCGCGGAUCAGCAUUGCCGCGGUGAAUAUGUUCCCGAGCCUUGUACACACCGCCCGU